RNAcentral lists this ribosomal RNA (119 nucleotides) under Sorghum bicolor (sorghum). The record is from RNAcentral. Lineage: Eukaryota; Viridiplantae; Streptophyta; Magnoliopsida; Poales; Poaceae.
GGAUGCGAUCAUACCAGCACUAAAGCACCGGAUCCCAUCAGAACUCCGAAGUUAAGCGUGCUUGGGCGAGAGUAGUACUAUGAUGGGUGACCUCCUGGGAAGUCCUCGCGUGGCAUUCC